UAAGGAAUAUUGGUCAAUGGACGAAAGUCUGAACCAGCCAUGCCGCGUGAAGGAUGACUGCCCUCUGGGUUGUAAACUUCUUUUAUAGGGGGCGAAAAAAGAUCAUUCUUGGUCGUCUGACGGUACCCUAUGAAUAAGCACCGGCUAACUCCGUGCCAGCAGCCGCGGUAAUACGGAGGGUGCAAGCGUUAUCCGGAUUCACUGGGUUUAAAGGGAGCGCAGGCGGACUGGUAAGUCAGUGGUGAAAUACCUGAGCUUAACUCGGGAACUGCCAUUGAUACUAUCAGUCUUGAAUGUUGUUGAGGUUUGCGGAAUGGGUCAUGUAGCGGUGAAAUGCAUAGAUAUGACCCGGAACACCUAUUGCGAAGGCAGCAGGCUAAACAAAUAUUGACGCUGAGGCUCGAAAGCGUGGGGAUCAAACA
This 422-nucleotide ribosomal RNA is filed under the name uncultured Aurantisolimonas sp. RNAcentral's name for it is "bacterial SSU rRNA". It matches the Rfam family "Bacterial small subunit ribosomal RNA", at positions 355 to 774 of the family's 1533-position model. The record is from RNAcentral. Lineage: Bacteria; Pseudomonadati; Bacteroidota; Chitinophagia; Chitinophagales; Chitinophagaceae.